GUCCUAACACAUGCAGUCGAACGCGAAAGUCCCGCAAGGGAUCAGUAGACGUGGCAAACGGGUGUAGUAACAUCGUGGGUGACCUGCCUUCGACGCGGGGGAUAACGUACCCGAAAGGGACGCUAAUACCGCAUGACAUCCUCGCUCUUGAACGGGCGGAGAUCAAAGCUGGGGAUCGCAAGACCUAGCACUCGAAGAGGGGCCCAGCGCCUGAUUAGCUAGUUCGGUGGGGUAAUGGCUUACCAAGGCAUCGAGUCCAGUAGCCAGGCCUGAGAGGGCGGUCGGCCACACUGACACUGACAUACGGGUCAGACUCCUACGGGAGGCAGCAGUCGGGAAUCUUGGGCAAUGGGCGCAAGCCUGACCCAGCAACGCCGCGUGAAGGAUGAAAUCCCUCGGGAUGUAAACUUCGCAAGAACAGGAAGAAUA
This 429-nucleotide ribosomal RNA is filed under the name uncultured bacterium. RNAcentral describes it as "bacterial SSU rRNA". It matches the Rfam family "Bacterial small subunit ribosomal RNA", at positions 46 to 451 of the family's 1533-position model. The record is from RNAcentral.